GGCCGUGUAGCUCAGUGGAUAGAGCGUCGGUUUCCGGAGCCGAAAGUCGCAGGUUCGACCCCUGUCUCGGUCG
Non-coding RNA from Thamnocephalis sphaerospora, 73 nucleotides. Lineage: Eukaryota; Fungi; Zoopagomycota; Zoopagomycetes; Zoopagales; Sigmoideomycetaceae. The record is from the annotation of a GenBank genome assembly.